UCGGGAAUUUUGGGCAAUGGGCGCAAGUCUGAUCCAGCCAUGCCGCGUGAGUGACGAAGGCCUUAGGGUUGUAAAGCUCUUUUGGCGGGGAAGAUAAUGACGGUACCCGCAGAAUAAGCUCCGGCUAACUUCGUGCCAGCAGCCGCGGUAAUACGAAGGGAGCUAGCGUUGUUCGGAAUCACUGGGCGUAAAGCGCACGUAGGUGGGCAGUUAAGUCAGGGGUGAAAGCCCGAGGCUCAACCUCGGAAUUGCCUCUGAUACUGGCUGUCUAGAGUUCGAGAGAGGUGAGUGGAAUUCCUAGUGUAGAGGUGAAAUUCGUAGAUAUUAGGAAGAACACCGGUGGCGAAGGCGGCUCACUGGCUCGAUACUGACACUGAGGUGCGAAAGCGUGGGGAGCAAACAGGAUUAGAUACCCAAGUAGUCCCUGAGCGGGCUGGCAAGGCGCAU
This 447-nucleotide ribosomal RNA is filed under the name uncultured bacterium. RNAcentral's name for it is "bacterial SSU rRNA". It matches the Rfam family "Bacterial small subunit ribosomal RNA", at positions 355 to 825 of the family's 1533-position model. The record is from RNAcentral.